Molecule: ribosomal RNA, 449 nt
Filed under: uncultured bacterium
Lineage: Bacteria
Description: partial 16S ribosomal RNA
Rfam family: Bacterial small subunit ribosomal RNA
Source: RNAcentral
AAUGAACGCUGGCGGCAUGCCUAACACAUGCAGGUCGAACGAUGCUUUCGGGCACAGUGGCGCACGGGUGCGUAACGCGUGGGAAUCCACCCCUGGGUUCGGAAUAACAGUUGGAAACGACUGCUAAUACCGGAUGAUGACGUAAGUCCAAAGAUUUAUCGCCCAGGGACGAGCCCGCGUAGGAUUAGCUAGUUGGUGGGGUAAAGGCCUACCAAGGCGACGAUCCUUAGCUGGUCUGAGAGGAUGAUCAGCCACACUGGGACUGAGACACGGCCCAGACUCCUACGGGAGGCAGCAGUGGGGAAUAUUGGACAAUGGGCGAAAGCCUGAUCCAGCAAGGCCGCGUGAGUGAUGAAGGCCUUAGGGUUGUAAAGCUCUUUUACCCGGGAUGAUAAUGACAGUACCGGGAGAAUAAGCCCCGGCUAACUCCGUGCCAGCCGCCGCAGUAA